This 75-nucleotide transfer RNA is filed under the name Alphaproteobacteria bacterium. RNAcentral describes it as "tRNA-Glu". It matches the Rfam family "tRNA". Rfam says of the family: Transfer RNA (tRNA) molecules are approximately 80 nucleotides in length. Their secondary structure includes four short double-helical elements and three loops (D, anti-codon, and T loops). Further hydrogen bonds mediate the characteristic L-shaped molecular structure. tRNAs have two regions of fundamental functional importance: the anti-codon, which is responsible for specific mRNA codon recognition, and the 3' end, to which the tRNAs corresponding amino acid is attached (by aminoacyl-tRNA synthetases). tRNAs cope with the degeneracy of the genetic code in two manners: having more than one tRNA (with a specific anti-codon) for a particular amino acid; and 'wobble' base-pairing, i.e. permitting non-standard base-pairing at the 3rd anti-codon position. Lineage: Bacteria; Pseudomonadati; Pseudomonadota; Alphaproteobacteria. The record is from RNAcentral.
GCUCCCAUCGUCUAGCGGUUAGGACAUCAGAUUCUCAUUCUGGUAACACGGGUUCGAUUCCCGUUGGGAGUGCCA